Molecule: microRNA precursor, 124 nt
Filed under: Cajanus cajan (pigeon pea)
Lineage: Eukaryota; Viridiplantae; Streptophyta; Magnoliopsida; Fabales; Fabaceae
Description: miRNA gene-KK1_019044
Source: RNAcentral
AACCAUCAAUGAGAGCACUAUAUGCAGUAAUAUCCAGUUCCAAACCCUUCUUUUUCAUAUCAUCAUACAUUUUCAAAGCAAGACCGAUCUUAUUAUUUUGCAAAAUCCAUUAACCAAACAAGUA